RNAcentral lists this long non-coding RNA (1679 nucleotides) under Macaca fascicularis (crab-eating macaque). RNAcentral describes it as "lncRNA (ENSMFAG00000049411.1)". Lineage: Eukaryota; Metazoa; Chordata; Mammalia; Primates; Cercopithecidae. The record is from RNAcentral.
GAGCGCGGGGAGCCGGCGCGGGAGCGGGGCGCGCGGCAGGUACCAUGCGGGCGCGCGAGCCCGGCGAGACCCCUGGCAGGCCCGCUCCCCACCCGGGGGCGCGCUGAGACGGCAGGUGAGCUCCCCCAGAGUGCCGUCGCCACUUCGACCAACUUUGCGGUAAGUUCGCUGGGGCGCGGGGGCGAGGGCGUGGAGCGCGCUGCGGUGCGGGCUCUGUGGGUGCCCGCCCGGUCCCCGGCUCGGGCUCCGGCGCUGCCGAAAACCGAUGAGUGCGCGACCUUGCGGAGGGUGCAGUGACUCGGUCCUUCCCCCUUGGGAAGUUCAGCACUGGCUAGUGGGGUUCCGGCGGCGGAGUGGGAGGAGGCGACCGCGCGGGGCCGGCCCGGAGCCAUUGCUGGGGUCCGAUCCUUUCUGGCUCGCCGCCUUCCCCCCGUGAGCUCGCCGCGUUGCGCCGGCCUCGCGGUCUCCUGGGGCAUCCCGCCGUCUGCGAAAGACCCUCUCGCUGAGAAGGGCACGCGGGAGGCCCGCGCGGGGCUGCCGGGUCCCUGGGUCCCUGGGUGUUUGCGCCCUGCAGGAGCGCUGCUUGGAGGUGUAGAUGCAACCGGUGGACUGCGGAGUGAAGGGCUGCGAGGCUGCAUUUCGCGGCUGAACAUCUGCACAAUGUGCGGUUUGUCAGUGUUUUCUGUCUUCUCUGGAGGAGGAACUUUUAAGAUCUUUUUAAAAGAAAGAGGUUUUGGUCUUUCAUUGCUUAAAAAAGAAAAAAAAAACCUCAGUGCUUUCUUUUACAGAGCCAACUUUCUGCUGUGUGUGAGAUUUUUUUGUUCCCGCUGAUGUGAAUUGCAAGGCUUUGGAAACAAGGACGCAAUUGUAUGAGUUAGGAAAGUAAACUCAUAAAUAUUUUCUAUGCAGUUAAGUUUUUUUUUUUUUUCGUGUGUCUGAACUGUGGUUUCAUUAAGUGGCUUUUGUUAAGCAAUUCCCGGGUGCCUGAUAUAGGCGAUUUUUUAAGUGGAUAUUAACAGUGAUUAUUAGUAUGAGAAAAGGCUGAAAAGAAAAUGACCUUCAGCUAUUCACUUCUUUUUCAAAAGCAGAUUCUUAAUACCUCUUAUAUUCAGAUACAGGUUUCGAUAGUUUAAUUUGUGUGUGAGAACUAGGUAAUAGUGAUGUUUUUCAUACUGUUCUUAAUGAGUUUGGUUAUGCUGUCAAACACAUACAGUUGUUACAGGGACGUUUGAAAAGUUGUUUCUCGAGUUAAUAGUUAAUUGUGAUAUUUGUCUUUGUCUUUUUGUCUUAGGAAGGCAGCUCUGAUUCCACAAUUAGAAUUAUUCCUUCGUAUUUAAGAUGUAAAAAUACUUAAAACACUAUGUAAUUUUUUAAAACAACAAUUGGUAUAAGCCUUGAGUUAUGCUAAACAUGGCAUUUAACAAGCGUAAGGUAAGGUUUGAUUUGAAUAAAGUUUGCAUUUGUAUACCCAUUUUUUGAAAAAUGAACACCUUAAAUGAGCCAAAUUCUUUGGCACUCUGAAAAGAAGCGAGGUUGUUAGAGGACUUUAUAAAAUCAUUUUGGGCCACCUGUAUAUUCAUUUGUCUCUUUUAAUUAGUCACUGGAAGUAUCCCCGUUGGGUUCUUAUCAUGUUAGUAGAUCAUUUAAAUCCAUGGUCCGGACAGGUGCCAAAAGAAAAA